Molecule: transfer RNA, 90 nt
Filed under: Trueperaceae bacterium
Lineage: Bacteria; Thermotogati; Deinococcota; Deinococci; Trueperales; Trueperaceae
Also listed under: 1 other name
Description: tRNA-Ser
Rfam family: tRNA
About the family: Transfer RNA (tRNA) molecules are approximately 80 nucleotides in length.
Source: RNAcentral
GGAGGGUUGGCCGAGCGGUCGAAGGCGGCGGUCUUGAAAACCGUAGACGGGGCGACUCGUCCGGGGGUUCGAAUCCCUCACCCUCCGCCA